GGGCCUGUAGCUCAGUUGGUCAGAGCAGGCGACUCAUAAUCGCUUGGUCGCAGGUUCAAGUCCUGCCGGGCCCACCA
This 77-nucleotide transfer RNA is filed under the name Alkalilimnicola ehrlichii MLHE-1. RNAcentral describes it as "tRNA-Ile2 (CAT) (tRNA-Ile2-CAT-1-1)". It matches the Rfam family "tRNA". Rfam says of the family: Transfer RNA (tRNA) molecules are approximately 80 nucleotides in length. Their secondary structure includes four short double-helical elements and three loops (D, anti-codon, and T loops). RNAcentral also lists the same sequence under 1 other name. The record is from RNAcentral. Lineage: Bacteria; Pseudomonadati; Pseudomonadota; Gammaproteobacteria; Chromatiales; Ectothiorhodospiraceae.